RNA transcript from Neofelis nebulosa (Clouded leopard), 4630 nucleotides. RefSeq lists it as uncharacterized. The record is from RefSeq and is a predicted model, not a curated record. The transcript is spliced from 3 exons. NCBI's taxonomy places the organism in Eukaryota, Metazoa, Chordata, Mammalia, Carnivora, Felidae.
GUGACCCCGCGGGGUGACAGGGAUGUGGCCAGUCUCCACGGUGCACCCACGACUAACCGGGAGCACCAGGCAGCCCUUCCGACCCCAGGAGAGCAGCCAGCCAGGGCCUGACACAUCAGUCAUCGGCAGUGAAGUAGGCCGACGGUCCUGUCCAAGGGGAGGACAUCGGGGACAUCCUCACAAGCGACGACCCCCGGGUCCUCCGCUCUCCAGGGAGACACAAGCCCCCUCACUAUGCAACCUCCUUAAAGGCAGAGGCCGUCAGUGCGGGGACACAGGGACCUACAAAGAGUUAGGAAAAUAACCCAAAGGUACAGCAAUGAGGAGCUGGUUAAAUAAAUUAAACUGUGCCCAUGCAAUGGACUAUUAUACAAACGUGGCCAUUAAAAAAUAGGUUGUGGAAGAACGUUAAUAGCCUAGAAAUGCCAUUGAAAGAGACUUUGAAGUGAGAAAAUAGGUUACAGGUUUCUACAAUAGAUGUCCACUUUGGAAGGAGAAAACCUGUAUAUACAAGCAUAGGAAACAAAACAAAAUGGUAAUAAUUAUGCUGGGUAGUGGAUUUCUGAGUGCUUUCUAUAUUUGCCGUUUGCUUAUCUAUAGUUUAUAUGCCAUUAAAGUCUAAUGAAAUGCAUAACUUUUGGAAAAACUAGGUGAACAAGUAAAUGUUUUUAAAGACAGAUGCUGGUUUUCUCACCAGGAGGGAGCCACCGCCCCGGGGACCCCGGGACAUCAGCCCUGGUCCGCCACACACCUGCCCCUUCACCUUUGCACACUGGACGCCAGGGCCCACACUGGACAAGGAGCUGGACAGAAGAGGUGAUGACAGUGGUCAGGCUCACCGUGACCACUUGGGAAACCCCACUGCUGCCACCGACUGCCACGGGGUGUGGGGACCCAGCACACAGGUAUGCCUCCCUCGGAAGCACAGACCCCACGGGCCCGGCACCCCCAUGGAAAGUAGGCAGACUGCUGCCCACAUUCUGGGAGCACGGGGACACAAACUGGCCUUCCUCCCACUCGGGCCGUUCCUCCUCCAACCUCCACCAGUGGCUUCAGCCAAGCGCAGACCCAUAGGCCCAGAAUUUAGAAGAAAACGUCCUGAGGAUAGAAGGGGAGUCACAAGAAUGUUUCUGAGAAACCCCAGGAUAUUCACAAGAGGUGGAAAGACCGCCCAGAAUUUGACUUACAGCUGCCACGUCAUUUCUGCGAGAUGCCGGGAGAAAGGGAGGGAGCCACGCGGACGCCCCAUCGCGGCCGCACUCCAGCCUCCGUCUGAGCAGCAUCAGCACCUGGUGGCCCAGUCCCUCCUGCUCCUCUAGCCUGCCAUCUCUGCUCCAGACCGGUCUCCACGCUGUUCCUUCCAGCCCGCCAUCUCCAGGAUUCAGACCACGACCAGCUCCCCGAGAUGCUGGGCCCUGCCUGGCACCCUCCUGACGCUGACGCCCCCUCACCCCAACCAGCCCACGUGGCAGGUCCCAGCCAGAUUGGUCUGAAAUUUGACAUCAUUUUGUCAAGUUGGUUAUCUUUUCAAACCUGCGGAAUGUCCCUAUUUCCUGCCCGAAGCGAUGCUUCUCCUCCCACAGGGGAGGUAGGAAGAGCGUCCACCCUCUCGGUAGCCGUGCGGACCCCACAGCUUCCCCACGAACAUUGUCACCCUGACGGCCGCAGCACUGGAUUCAGAGAUCGCUGGAUUUAGCCCCCAAUUAUAGGUUGUCUCUGCUUAACAAUUAUUUUCACUCCCCAUUCCAAUAGGAAAUCCCUGGGGGGGAAAGGCAUAUACAUAGGAAAUCUCAAAUCAUAUGUGUGAAGGGACGGGGACAGAAUGAAACGUCGGGGAGCUGCCUCAAAAGCAGGAGAGCAGCAUGAAAUGUGACCCUGGCUCUUGAGAAGAUGAUGGUUUGCUUGUCUGUCAGCCACAAAAAGAAGUAAACAUUUAAAUCACAUAUAUGUUUUGUUCACACUUGCUGAGAAAGUAUGGCAUAACGGGUGAGACCGUCCUAAGGUAGAGAAGGAAGGUGGGUUUCCAGCAGGAGUUUGGGGAAGGGUGACCCGGCUGGAGGUGGGGGAGGAGGGGCCAGGACUGCUUUGAUCCCAAUGUGCGCCUUCCGGCCUGUGCCUUUGUUUCCACUUCAGUAAACAAGAGUGUGAACUACACAGACCCUGUCUUCUGGUCCCUCGCUUCUUCUGGGAGGGGAGCGGAAAGGGAGCAAACAAGUAGCCGCCUCCCUGCUGGCCUGGGGGGUGGCGGCCUCGGGACGCCCGCCAAGGAGGAUACGGAGGCCAGUGCAGGGCUCCUCAGAAAGGAAGCGGGCACCAGCUCAGGAAGCCGCUCAGACUCCCGCUGGUGGAGGGCAGGGCAGCUACCCAGGGGACCCGGCCCAGAGCCGACACCGUGGAGGAAGAUGUCCAGGCGCACCUCAUGACGGCCCGUGCGGGGAGCAGGGACAGGCCAAGCAGGCUCGGAGCGAGUGGGGGAGAUGGCCCCUGCUAGCUGCAAGCCCCCUCCCGGGACAAGGAUGCAGCCAGAUGGCUGUGGAUCAGAGAGCAAGGGCCCCGGGUCCCUGUGCAUGACCUAAAGAUGGAGGUGACAGGGCCCCCCUCACACGCCCUUAUGGAGAAUGAAUAGACUCUGCCCGUCAAGCGGCUACUUAGAUACCCAACACGUGGCAGAAUUUUAACAAUAAAGGAUGUCUCUGUGUGCAAGGCUUGCCUCUGGAGGACCUCGCCUCUCCUCAGCCCCCCACCAGUGUGACCACGGCGGGCAGGGAGAAGAGCAUGGGACCGGACUGCUUUACCACUUAUCAGUGGCUCCGGAGGUGGGCCUGGUAGGAGAGAGGGGUGAGACUAUCGAUUAAUGUAUGGUUUAUAUAUUCUUUUCGGUGGCUUUUGUGUUUGUUCAUUUAGGGAGAGAGGGAGAGAGCACGAGCAGGGGAAGGGCAGAGAAAGACGCAGAGACAGAGGAUCCCCAGCAGGCUCCACAUGGGUGUGGCACAGAGCCUGACGCAGGGCUCGAUCUCACGAACUGUGGGAUCAUGACUUGGGCCGAAAUCAAGAGUCAGACACUAAACUGACUGAGCCCCCCCAGGCACCCCAAGUUUGUAUAUUCUUUUAAAGAGGUAAACACAGGGGCGCCUGGGUGGCUUAGUCGGUUGGGUGUCCAACUUUGGCUCAGGUCAUGAUCUCACAGCUCGUGGGUUCAAGCCCUGCGUCGGGCUCUGUGCUGACAGCUCAGAGCCUGGAGCCUGCUUCAUAUUCUGGGUCUCCCUCUCUCUCUCUGUCCUCUCCCGCUCAUGCUGUCUCUCUCUGUCUUUCAAAAGUAAAUAAACAUUAAAAAAAAGGUAAAUGUAAAUAAUUCCAAAUAUUGGCAAGGAUGUUGGACAGCUAAAACUCCACGUGUCUUUCACAGAACCAUAAAUGACAGCAUGUUAAAAAAAAAAAAAAGCUUAACACUUUCUUAUAAAAUAAAUACACACCUACCUUAUGAACCAACAGUCCCAAUCCAAGAUGUUUAUCCAAGAGCAAUAAAGAUAUAUGUCCACAAAAAUACUUGUAGAAAAAUGUUCAUACUAGCUUUAUUCAGAAUAACCCCAAACUGGAAAAGCCCACACGGCGGUCUCCAGGAUGAGGGCAAGUUAGGGCACACCCCUCCAACAGGCACUGUUUGGCAGAGACAAAUGCCAGGCUACUGAGGAGCAGUGUGGGUGAGUCACGGAAGCAUGAGUCUCUUACCUUUAAGACCAGACGCUCUAAAUGUACACACUAGUGCAAGCAAAAACAGACCCAUGCUAGGAAAGAAUCAAGGAGAGUCAGACAGACAUGGACUGGCAGGGGACAUGGGAGGACUUCUGGCCUGAUGUUACCUGCUGCCCCUCAGUUUUAUCUACCUACCCUGUGGCCAGCCAUGGAGCUCAGUGAUUGGAGAGAAAGUUCUGUGAAGACAGCCACUCUUGGAAAGAAACAGCCAGUGUGCAUUCCCACCAGCAAUGCAAGAGGGCUCCCCUUUCUCUGCAUCCUUGCCAACACCUGUGGUUUCUCAUGUUGUUGAUUUUAGCCAUUCUGAGGUGUGAGGUGGCAUCUCAUCAUGGUUUUGAUUUGUAUUUCCCUGACGAUGAGUGAUGUUGAACAUCUUUCCAUGUGUCAGUUGGCCAUCUGGAUGUCUUCUUUGGAAAAGUGUCUAUUCAUGUCCUAACUGGGCUAUUUGUUUUUUGGGUGUUGAGUUUGGUAAGUUCUUUAUAUAUUUUGGAUACUAACCCUUUAUCAGAUAUGUCAGUUGCAAAUAUCUUCUCCCAUUCCAUAGGCUGCCUUUUAGUUUCACUCAUUGUUUCUUUCACUGUGCAGAAUGAAGGGGCACAUGCACCCUAAUGUUAACAGCAACCUUAUCAACAAUAGUUAAACUAUGGAGAAAGCCCAAAUUUCCAUUGACUGAUGAAUGGAUACACACACACGCACAUGCACACACAAAGGAAUAUUACUCAGCCAUCAAGAAGAAUGAAAUCUUGCCAUCUGCAGCAAGGUGGAUGGAGCUAGAGUGUGUUAUGCCAAGUGAAAUAAAUCGGAGAAAGACAAAUAUCAUAUGACUUCAUUCAUAUCUGGAAUUUAAGAAACAAAACAGAUGAACACAUGGGAAAUG